CCUGCAGUACUAUCAGACACUUGGCCCUCGUGGUUCUGGAGAAGAUGCUGGCUUUGAAGAGAAAGGAGCUGCACAUAAGGAAGGUGAAGUGAUGUGCCAUCCCCAGCUGUUUUCCCAUUCCUUCUUACCACUUACUCCCCAUUCUGUGUCUUCUGUUAGCCUGGUAUGAUAAUUUUGGUACCUGCUCACCUAGAAAUAUGUGCACACAUGAUCACAGGCACUUUUACUGCUCUGCACUUGUAUGUAGACAUUUACAGACACGUCUUUUUAUUUUAGGUUCGUUUAAUCUCUUCAGCUGGGGACUGUAACCUCCUAUCAUUGGAAUAAAUUAGUGUUUUUUUUCCUAGAAGGUAGGAGGACAAGUGGCUAGCUCUGAAAAAUAGUUUGGAGCAAGAGUGGGUUCAAGUGAUUAGCGAAGAAAAAAAGAUCUUUAAAAAAAAUUCCCUGGGUUAUUCUGAUGUUUAUUCUAUUCUCUGAAUGCAUGUGAUUCGUGAGCCUAAAAAGGCCUUCGAUGACCUCAUCUUGGCAAUUUCAGGAUGUUCAGGAGCCCAGUAGAUGGCACUAUCUAGUGGUGCUGAGAACAGUUCAUGGAGAAACUACCACUCACAGCUACAAAUCUGGUAGAGAAGUAGCACCCUUACAGUUUACUGGACAAGUUAGAAGUUGAUAGUAACGCUCCGUCAUCCUCCCCCUUACUAGGGAAUGAGACCUUUUCUUACAUGUCUUGCCUAUUCAUGGUAUUUACUCUCAGUACACAAAACACUGUUACCUCCUAUGGAUAGUCAGUGCCCCUUGGGCGGAAAUAGAAUAGAUUUGUGGCCAGUGGUCAAGCUUGAGACUUACCUCGUGUUUCAGAAGAGUGUUUUGCAGUGAGAGAUCUGGAGGAUUUCAGUGUUCGCACCCUGUAUGAUAAGCUGGAGGAUCAGAAUUUGCACCUGGCAUCUCAGCUGGCAAAACACAGGAUGGACGUGCUGGUGUUUUACAACGGAAUCAGCCAGCAGAUUCAAGGUCUCAUGGACAUGGUGCAAGCACGGGACUCUGGAGGCCAGAAAAUCUUUGCCAAGCGAAGGAUUUGUGGGCAUAAACCUGCAGAGAGCAGCUGGGCAGCAGUGGGUGUUGAACCAUGUGAUGAGCACUGUAGCAGCAACUUCGAAGCAGUAGGGCACACAGGUGCACCGUGGCAAGAGGCAACGGAGUUAAUGAAAGCUCUGGAAAUCCUGCUUAGGAGAGCUCAGCACAAGAAUAUCUCUGUGAAACAAGAGAUGGAGCAGCAGGUCCAAGGACAGGAUGCGCUGGCAGUUGUACCCUCACUGGGCAGCCUGGCCAGUGAAAGUAAAGCAGAAGUAGGGGAAGGGCAGGAUUGUGAGCUGCUUCAGCAGUGUGAGCUUUUCCGUAGAAAAGGUGCUCUUUUCAGCUUCCCUGGACAUGACGAACAUGAUCCCCAGCUGGCUUACCUGACUGAGCUGGAGGUGGAAGGCCUGAUAGCAGCUUCCCCCCUUGCCACGACUCUGUGUGAGAUCAAGCAAGCUUUGGUGAAGCUGCAACAACCUUUAGACCUUCGUAAUCCAGGUUGUCCCUCAACUGGUAUCGGUCAUUCCUGCUUUCUGAUGAAGCUCAACAGAGCUAUCGUGGCCCUUGCCAAUGCCUUUUUCCAGCAUUCAUGGGGGAUAGCAGAGAAGGAUUCUUCAGGAGGUUGCUUAGCUGUUCCUUUUGACCCUCAGACAGUGCUCAAAGAACUUGUCAGCAUCAGAGUAUCAUCACUCCCAUGUGUCAAGGAAAAAGCCCCAGAAAAGAGGGUGUCUAGUCUGGAAAAGUACCAGGCCCUUAAGCUGCAAGUGGAGACCCAGGACAGGAUGGAAAGUUCUCAGAAAAGUGACUACAACUGGAUGUUAGAUUCCUCUGCUGUUAAGCUGAAGGUUGCAAAACUGGAGGAGAGGCUGGAUGAGCUAAAUGAGGAGUUUUCUGAACUGACAGUACGGGCCUUGAGCAUGCAGGAAGAUGGGGAAUCGUUGGAGGAGGAGCUGAGAAUGCAGGAAGAGUCAUUUACGACUGCAAGCAACAAACAAGCGUGGGGAGCUCAGCAAUAUUCAGAGCUGUUGGAUUCUUGGGCCACAAAGAGGGAUGAAGCCCUGCUGCUGGAAAUAAGGAAGAACUGCAUUGCUCAGAGGAUUGAAGAGAUGGAAGCAGAACUAUUUUAUCUUCAGCAAAGUAAACUAGGCACCAGCCCAUUUCCUUGAGGAACCUAGCUCAUAAGGCAAUACCUAAAGGCAGAUUAUGGGAGCAUGUUUGAAUCUGUGGACAGAGUGCUUUAUCUGAAGUAUCGUGAUAGAUACAUACGUAGUUAGAGAUUCACUCGGUCAAAUAUGUCACGGAAAAUCCAUAUUCUGUUUUCUUUAAUUGGUUGAAGUACAUUCACACUUACCCUCAGUCAUCAAUAAUUUUCUGGGCUUGAGAGGAAAGCUGAAGUUCUUAACAUUGUUUGCUAAUUUCAGAGUUUUCAUUGCUAAGUCAGUAAAGCAGAAAAGAUGUGAGGCCGUGGGUCACCCCCUCUUACCAGUGCAUUCUGUACUGCCUUUUUCACUUCUGAUAUCAAGGAUAGUUGUGAGGAUCUUUUAGGUACAGUUCAGAGCAAUACUUCAAAGACUUGCCCAGCAUUUCUACGCUGCCUGUGCAUGUUUUCAAUAGAAUCGUAUUGAUCAGUAAGGUCUGCUGGCAGAGACCUUGAAGGCCUUUAGAGGUGUGAUGUUUGGGCAAAGAGUACACUUAAAUAAUUCCCUGUAGCAGAGAGUGCAGCAAUCUGUGUAUCUGCUGGUGUCCAAUGCUCUGUGAGCUUGAUCUUUAAAUAGAAUAUAUCUUUUCUACCAUUUCUAUUCUUUUAGUCUGUCUUUAUGAUGCCAGGAGAGCCUGGCUGCAAAAUGGGCUUUGUUUCUGAGGAGCAAGAUUGGACUCAGCACACCUGCUGUCUCUUUCUGCACCGUAUUCCUUAGCUCCAGGUGAAGUAGCAUAGCAUAAACUUGCUCGUCUGUGAGCCAGCACAAUGCCUUGGCAAACCACAUUGGUAGGCUUCAGCCAACUGUUUUCAACAGCAAAGUCUGUUCUUUUUUCAUUUCAGUGUUUACUGAAUUGCUUAUGUGUGAAGAGGUUUGUGAACCCACUCCUUCCUGGUUCCUAAACACAAACCUGUGCUUACUCAUUCUGCCUUUGCAUAACUGUAGAGGGUAUUAAGAGGGUGAGACUUAAGUGCCUGGGAGCCAAGACAGAAGCUCUCAGCUUCAGUUCCAUAAACUGGUGUCUCUCCUCGAUCCAGAGGAACUGCCUGUUUUUUGCCCUUACCUACUCACUUUGGUGGUUCCACAUUUUCUGAGCUUGCUCCCAGAAGCAAAAGCUUUGUUGUAGUUCCUUUGCACCUUGGGAGAAUUUAAUUAUUUGCUGACACUUUGAAGGGACUUUCAGAAAAUGAAAGGAUUUUAGGAAGCAAAAUGUACCUACAGGCAACCGCUACAAAACACCGUGAUUGCCGCCUUCUGGGAUAUAGUAAUGAAAAGGCUGUCAUUGCUCUCCUAAUUGCUUUCUUUUCAGGUUAUCAGCAGAUAUAACAGUGCUACAUGGACACAAGUAUCUUCAGUGACUGCUGUCUCUGUAAUAUCCACUGGAAAAUACGGUACACAGGUGAUAGAGUUAUCUCUGUGCUGUGCUUCCAGCUGAUAUUUGUAAAAGGCAUGUUGGAAGGCAGUAGCAAGUAAAAUCUGACAAUUUUUUCAUAGCAACAGUUUUCCAAUGAAAAUAAUUAGUUUUAUUCUAGAUCAAAACAAAGAUAUGUGUAUAGAAUUUUGCUGAUUUUUUCCCCACUGUUGUUUUCUUAACAAGUACACUUCAGUUAUAAGUAAAUAAUUUUGUGUUUCAAAUUAUUUGUUUUGUUUUUUUUUUUUUUUCCACAAAAUGAAAGAAUAUCAAUGAGAAGACCAGAAUUUCACACAGCAUUUUCUUUUCAUGUUCUGUUGAUGGUUACUGAAAGAAAGAACAAAUAUAAAGAGGAGUGGUGCAACCAUUAUUUUUGUUCUUCUUCUAAAGUAUUUACUGUUGAUAGCUCUUUUUCUAGUGUUCUCUGAAAUCUUCUGGAAGUCAAGCUUGUCUGGAGUAGCUCUGAAGUCCCCUCACGUUUGGGAGGCUGCUGUUUCCCUGAGACUGCUGAUAAGACUGACCAAGUCCAGGGUGACUUAAUUUGGAAUUCGAAGAAGGAUCACAGGGCUGUUGGUUUUCCUUCAGUUGUUUUGACUUAUGCCUCUCUUAACAGAAAAUGAAAGGCCCUUUUCAGCAUUCAGGGUAAAGUGUAGCUUCUCAUGGAGGGCACCAAACACGGCUGUGAGUGUGAAAAGGGAGGUAUGGUGAGUUCCCUGACCAGGAACCUCUCCAGCUUACAGCUGUGUGUGGCUCUGAAGCAACACCUGCUGAAACUGGGUGGUUUCUGCUGCUUUUGUCUUCCAGUGUGAAGCUUAUCAAGCCUCCUAGUGGGUUAACAAAGCCAGACAACGUUCCAGUGGUGUGUGUCGCAGUUACUGAGGCCCACCUUGGCUGUGCUCAUUAUGUAGUUAAUCCUUGCUUCUCAUCCAGAUAGGGCUCUAUACAGUGCUUUCAAAUGCUGUUGGAAGAAAAGGUCCAGUGAAAACAACUAGUGAGAAUGUCCAUCCGAAGAAAAUGUCCAAUGAGGAUUUCAUUAGUAUGUCAGUGCAAAUGAAAUGCAGUACCGGUCCGGAUCUGCUGGCAGAGUCUCUGCAGGUUUUCACACUCAGUGCUUAAGUACAGGCAGGUUAAUUAAGCCUAUUCAAUUGCCAGCUACAAACAUAACAAUAAUGAAUAUCCAUUGAAUUCUCCUAGACUGUAGCAGAUGCAGGUUAUUAUGACCCAGCUUACCCCACAGCAAAAGAAUUUUGUGCUGAACUAUACAAACUAGUUUUUGCCUUGACUAAAAGCAUGGGUUGUUCUAACUUGACUGACUGUUAGAGUGAAAGGCAGAUAACUUGUUUUGAGGUGGUCCUGGAUCAUAGUCCUCAAGUAAAAGGCACCCAGACUCUGGGCUGUUUAUCAGAAGUGGAUUAUAUCUGCAUAGCUGAGACAUGUCUUGAGUUAAAUUGCGUAGCCCGUAGUAACUUUCUGCCCUUGAACCCUGACCAGGACUUCUGUGUGUUGCAGGUGAAGUUGAGUUGGCAGAUGAGAAUGGCAAGGUGACGAAUUUGCUCCAGAACCAUUAUACAUCACAGUUCCUAAGUGAGAGAGGGUUUUGUGUACUACUCAGAGUUACAUGUAUGUAAAUUUGCUAAUCUCUGUAUUGCAGAUGCUAUUAUUUUCCUUUGCAGCUGAAGAGAUACACACACACAAAUGAAGGCUGAAAUUUAUAGGGAAUUUUCAUUUUGGAUUCCCUGUCUAAGCCUGUGAGCAUCCUUAACUCCAGUCAGAGAUAAUAGAACCUAAUGAUCUUGAACACUUACUGAAGACAGGGCUAAGAUACCAGAAAUUGGACAUCUGAAAUUAAGUUGCUUUUUAAAAUGGUCCAGUGGAAGCUAGGAUUGCCUCCCUGUAGGACAGAGGUUUCCUUACAACCUCAGUUUUGACCUCCAAAAAAAAAAUUUUUUUUUUUUUAAGUUUCUGGUUUUAUGCCAUGCUUUUAUCCCUAACAGGACAUGAAGUUCUCAAGAAGCUGUGUUUAUGCCACUGUUGAAAGAUCACAGCAUUGUUGCUCCAAAGUCCCCAUGUUGGUGGCCUAAGGUAGGUGUUUCUGUAAUGUUGUUCUCAAACCUGAGAGGAGAAAGUAUUGUGUCAGCUGUGUUCCUCAGGAAGGAAUAAAAGCCUGAGGUAAAGAGGAAUGCUUUAAAUU
Anser brachyrhynchus (Pink-footed goose) is the source of this 5872-nucleotide long non-coding RNA. The record is from Ensembl. NCBI's taxonomy places the organism in Eukaryota, Metazoa, Chordata, Aves, Anseriformes, Anatidae.